GCAUCUGUGCAUGCAGCAUAUCAAUAAGCGGAGGAAAAGAAACUAACAAGGAUUCCCCUAGUAACGGCGAGUGAAGCGGGAAGAGCUCAAAUUUGAAAUCUUAAAGGGUUUCCCUUUACGAAUUGUAGUUUAAAGAAGUGUUUUCUGUUGAGGUUUUGGUAAAAGUUCUUUGGAAUAGGACAUCAUAGAGGGUGAGAAUCCCGUAUUUGACCUUUACUUUCAACUUUGUGAUACACUUUCAAAGAGUCGGAUUGUUUGGGAAUGCAGUCCAAAAUGGGUGGUAAAUUUCAUCUAAAGCUAAAUAUUGGCGAGAGACCGAUAGCGAACAAGUACCGUGAGGGAAAGAUGAAAAGAACUUUGAAAAGAGAGUUAAACAGUACGUGAAAUUGUCAAAAGGGAAGCGUUUGACACCAGUGUUGUUUUUCUGAAAAUCAAUUAAAGAACUGUUUAUGCUAAGCUGUUUAGACUUUAUCAGCUAAUCUGUUUAGUUUUGAGCUUUUCUUUAAUGCACUUUUCAGUUAACAAGUCAACAUCAACUUUCUUUUCGCUGUAAAAAAGCUUGAGGAAGGUGGCUUGAGAUUCGUCUUAAGUGUUUAUAGCCUCUUGCCUAUGCAGUCGGAGAGAUUGAGGUCUGCAGCGUAGAUCCUUCGGGGCUAAAUGCAUUUGUGCUAAGUUAUAGCAUUUUAUAGACAACUUGUUGACUAUGAUUUGUCUUGUAGCUUACUCGCUUAUGUUAUUUUACCUACGCUUAGGAUGUUGACAGCAGUAUAGACUGU
RNAcentral lists this ribosomal RNA (776 nucleotides) under uncultured Neocallimastigales. RNAcentral describes it as "partial large subunit ribosomal RNA". It matches the Rfam family "Eukaryotic large subunit ribosomal RNA", at positions 24 to 629 of the family's 3401-position model. The record is from RNAcentral. Lineage: Eukaryota; Fungi; Neocallimastigomycota; Neocallimastigomycetes; Neocallimastigales.